Molecule: long non-coding RNA, 253 nt
Filed under: Brassica napus (rape)
Lineage: Eukaryota; Viridiplantae; Streptophyta; Magnoliopsida; Brassicales; Brassicaceae
Description: long non-coding RNA (BNAP_LNC013502)
Source: RNAcentral
UGAUCGGUGGAAGCUUGAUUUGGCCAUGGUUACAGCAAAGGGUGAAAGUUGGUUCACCUGUUCGUGGGUCUGUAGCAGGGCUUUCAGAAGUCCACAUUAAUGCACCACAUUUUGAGCAUGGUACGAUUCGGUUUUCAUCUAGUCGGGAUGUUGAACCUUUUUCUGGAAAAUGUUUAUUACGAAUUGUUAAAUCAUAGUUUAUUGAAAUCUUAAGAGUUUAACAGAGGGUUAGGAAUUAUUAUUUUUUAUAUUU